This 505-nucleotide ribosomal RNA is filed under the name uncultured bacterium. Its description in RNAcentral is "partial 16S ribosomal RNA". It matches the Rfam family "Bacterial small subunit ribosomal RNA", at positions 28 to 507 of the family's 1533-position model. The record is from RNAcentral.
GACGAACGCUGGCGGCGUGCCUAAUACAUGCAAGUAGAACGCACAGUUUAUACCGUAGCUUGCUACACCAUAGACUGUGAGUUGCGAACGGGUGAGUAACGCGUAGGUAACCUGCCUGGUAGCGGGGGAUAACUAUUGGAAACGAUAGCUAAUACCGCAUAAUAUUAAUUAUUGCAUGAUAAUUAAUUGAAAGGUGCAAUUGCACCACUACCAGAUGGACCUGCGUUGUAUUAGCUAGUAGGUGAGGUAACGGCUCACCUAGGCGACGAUACAUAGCCGACCUGAGAGGGUGAUCGGCCACACUGGGACUGAGACACGGCCCAGACUCCUACGGGAGGCAGCAGUAGGGAAGCUUCGGCAAUGGACGAAAGUCUGACCGAGCAACGCCGCGUGAGUGAAGAAGGUUUUCGGAUCGUAAAGCUCGGUUGUAAGAGAAGAACGGGUGUGAGAGUGGAAAGUUCACACUGUGACGGUAUCUUACCAGAAAGGGACGGCUAACUACGUG